Long non-coding RNA from Syngnathus acus (greater pipefish), 3438 nucleotides. RefSeq lists it as uncharacterized. The transcript has 3 exons. The record is from RefSeq and is a predicted model, not a curated record. Lineage: Eukaryota; Metazoa; Chordata; Actinopteri; Syngnathiformes; Syngnathidae.
CCAAACUCAAUGACACAGCAGAGAGCCCAGGGAACCGGACAGACACUCUCUAAACAGGCCAGCAGACAAAGUGUUCAGUCAAGCCUCCUAAUUGCUGGCUCAUAUGGACCAAAAUAUCCUUGGAGGACCUUUAAGUGUCUUUGCGGCCACUAGGCUGGCUAACUACCAUGCAGCAGCAGUGCCCUUGGGAGGGAUUGCCGGGCGACUUUGCAGCUUCAUGUAAGACAAAGACAAGAAGCGCCGUGUCACCUCCAGCUGGUUCCGACCUUAGUGACAGCGUGCAGCAAGGUGACAAGGACACACACUUUUGGCAAUGGGAAGUGACCACAUGACAUUCCUUCCAGGAUUCAAAUCUAAUAUUUAACGUGGGAUUAUCGGCUUUAAGAUUACAGGUGCCGACCAACUGCUCAUUUGACAGUUUCCGCCAAAUAUACCGUCCUUCUCGAUAUAUAAAUGGUUUGACCAAAAUGACCCGAAUUCAAUAUGUAACUACUUGGAGCAAAGGGCACGUGUACUUCUGAGUUGAAACACGGGAACACAAGAAGUAAGUUAAUAAGUAUGUUUAUGUGAAUGAAAAACAGAAAGUCCCAAUUGGAAGAGAGACUGGUCACAAGGCCAUGUUUAAAAAACAAAACAAAACAAAACCAAUUUGUAUCCAUCCUAUUGGCAAGAGGAAAUACCCCCCACUAUUUGUUUAUUCUCCCAAAAAAUAUUUUUUUAAAUUGUAUCUUUUCAUUGUAACAACAUUAACGGAAAUUAAUACCUUGUGUUCGGGACAGGUCUAAAUUCAUCUUAAAUAAAUGAAUGGUAAAUUUGAUUACUUGUUACCUUUAAUGGGAUGGGAAAAUAUCUCUUUGAAUAUAUUCGUGCUUCUAUGCCAGUGUUGCAAAAUAACAUGAACGAUAUGGAGCUCUUACAGUACACACAGCCUACAAUACAAAUUGCAGGUUACCAACUAUGACUGGGUUAGGCCUAAUGCAUUUUAUUGUAGUGCUACUAUGACUACUACAGUCAUGCCAUGCUGUUAAAAAAAAAAAAUCAUUCCACUUCAGCGAGAAAACAGAAUGCAUCUAACAUGUAAUAUCUACAACUGGCUGUACUCAAAGGAAGGCUACAAUAAAUGAAAACUACAGCAUCUAUUAAGACUCCCGAAGUAGCCUUGAGGAAGACAGACAGGCCACAAAAGCAAAAAGUAAAAUGGCUUAGCCAGGUCACUAUUUGCAACACUCAGAAAUAGCUCUUCACAUCUUGAACAUAGAGGCUUGGCAUUUGAGAAGUGUCUCGACCACGUAACGGUCAACUGGUGAAAAUGUGUCAAAUCAUGUACACUGCAAGAAGAAAGCAAUUCUUCUUCAAAAGAGUUAUAACUGAGUGUUCCCGUAAUGCUCUGACUAACACCCUGCUUCAGAACACCCAACCUGUGCUCUAGCUAUGCAACAAAGUGACGGCAAUAUGAUUUUUUUUUAGUAGUUUAGCUUUUAAGACUAAUCUACAACCAAUAGUCACCUCACAUGGCCCAGCGCGUGUUCACCAGUGUAACAGACUGAAAAACAAAAACAAUUUUUUUAAACAGAACCUCAAACUAACUAGCAUAUAAAAUACCUGGUGUGGUGCACCCAAAAAAAAAAAAUUCCAUCCAGUAAUAUAAAGCGAGGGGAGUAAAUAAAGAAAAAAACACACAGAAAGAAAGGAGAAAGCAUUCAUUUGGAAAAUAGAGUCGGCUCAUGAGAAAGUGGGCCUGUCCGGUCUAGCGGUGCAGCGGGGUCGUCCCAGCAGGCAGCCCCUCUGAUUUCAUUAAUUAACAGGACAAAGAGUACAAAACAGAUGGGCCCGUAGAGGAACUAGGGCUCCCGUGCUACCCCCACAGGCCCACAUACUGUAUGUACAUACAUCCACAAGCAACCUGAUCAUGUAGCAUCAACAACAGCGCUAACGUACACGAACGUACAUACCCGUGCUUUAACUCGCUCGCUACUACACCUGCCACAAGUAUCAUGUAAGCAACUUGUUAAGACCUGACUGUUGUAUUAUCACGUUCAAUCAAAACUGCAAAGAGCUAAAGGGGUGCCGCAGGGUUCUGUAUCGGGUCCCCUCUUAUUGUUCUUUAUGUCAGUGAUUUGUCCAAAGCAAAAUUGCAUUUCUGUGAUGACGACAUUGUUUUUUAGUCCUAUGGAUCAACUGUUUUUCAGGCCGUCAAAUCGCAGCAGAAAGCUUUGGUAACGGUCCAGCAAUCAUUAAUUCACUUGGAAGUAUACUCUCGACAAGGAAGGCCUGCUCUGACCACUCCAAGGGUGAGUCACUGUUUACAGGACAAUAUUAGGACUGCUAUUUUCAUAUGUUUGAGUCUUAAUUACGAUCGAAAAUACUGACUCGGAAAUUGAAAUUGUCUUUGGUCACAAGAUUAUUUAUUACUUUCGUUCCCCUAUGCUCGUACGGCAUUGGGUAAACAGGCUUUUUUUUUUACUCUGCUCCUUAUGCAUGAACUAUGCCACAAACAGGCUGGAAGCUAACUUGUUAAAUUGCUUUAGGUACUUUAAAUCCAAAUGGAGAGUUUUUGACACAAAUUACACAAUAUGCAAUUUUUCACAAUGUGUUUGUAAAAUUCUAUGUUUGGUGUGUAAAUGUAUUUCAAGUUUUAUGUUAGUUGCUGCGUCUUGGCUAGGACACCCUUGAAAUAUAAUUCUUUAUUUUAAACUUCCUGGUUAAAUACAGUUAAAACGAAAAAAUAAUGAGACAAAAGUAUAAUGAGAAACUUUGUUUGGACCCAGCAGCGUCAGUCUGUACGGCUCGACAAUGGCACAAGUAAUUGUUUAACAAAGCUUACUAAUGAGGACCCCCUACCCAAAUCUAGCAAACCCUAUGCCCUUGUAAGCCAAUGAGGUCUUUGCUUUGCCAGGCCGGGCUAUCGUGUGAACGGUGGCGUGCACAUGUAGUGCCUGGAUCCACCUUCAGAGCCCCGUCCAGGCUUUAUCCGCACAUCUGAGGCCACGCAUGGACCUCGGAAGUCCAAUCCAGUUUGUUUCCUUCAAUCCGAUUAGUUGCUUUUCAGAUCUAUACUAAUUACAGCAAUCCUCCAACCCUCCUCUUCUCUUCCACCUUCUCCAUCCUCCUUGUUCAAGUCUUGACCACGUCAGCAUUAACCGCUAAUCUCCAGUCCAGCUCGGGCCAACAGCCAGCCGCUGCUAACCAGGUGUUAGACUAGUAGAGAAGUGCACGGCAGCUGGUGGGAGCAUAUGCACUUUCGGCGCGGCUGCGGAUGAAAGCAUUUGUGUCGAACGGCCAAUAGCAAAAAAAAUAAAUAAAAAAAAAUCAACAACACCGCACCUUAGUUGUUUUUUACUCCAAUAAGCAUAAAUGACCCUUUUUUAUCAUCCUAACAUAUUGCAUCGGACGACUAAUAGCAAUAACUCAGUGGAAUUCAAAAUAAUUUUGACUAAA